GCCAGUGUGGUAUAGUGGAUUAAGCAUGAGACUAUGACUCUGGAGAUCAGGGUUCUAAUCCCAGCUCAGGCA
This 72-nucleotide transfer RNA is filed under the name Phrynosoma platyrhinos (Desert horned lizard). Its description in RNAcentral is "tRNA-OTHER". It matches the Rfam family "tRNA". Rfam says of the family: Transfer RNA (tRNA) molecules are approximately 80 nucleotides in length. Their secondary structure includes four short double-helical elements and three loops (D, anti-codon, and T loops). The record is from RNAcentral. Lineage: Eukaryota; Metazoa; Chordata; Lepidosauria; Squamata; Phrynosomatidae.